This 62-nucleotide transfer RNA is filed under the name Octodrilus transpadanus. RNAcentral's name for it is "tRNA-Leu". Lineage: Eukaryota; Metazoa; Annelida; Clitellata; Crassiclitellata; Lumbricidae. The record is from RNAcentral.
CAGUGAGUUGGCAGAAUAAUGUCAUCGACUUAGGGCCGAUUCAUGGGAUAACCCACUCACUA